Long non-coding RNA from Biomphalaria glabrata, 2161 nucleotides. RefSeq lists it as uncharacterized. Lineage: Eukaryota; Metazoa; Mollusca; Gastropoda; Planorbidae. The record is from RefSeq and is a predicted model, not a curated record. The transcript has 2 exons.
GAAUAUUCGUUUGUUAUGAAUCGCACUGCUCUAUUUUGUGUCUGUUCUAGUUUCUUAAUGUUUUCUUGAGUUGAGGGGUCCCAAACAGAGGAUGCAUAUUCUAUUAUUGGCCUAACCAAGGUUAAAUAACAUUUUAGUUUUAUGUUCUUAUUUGAUUUAUAGAAAUUUCUUUUAAUAAAUCCUAAUGCUUUGUUUGAUUUUUUUGUAGUUUCAUCAAUAUGUGGAUUCCAUGACAGUUUUUCAUUUAUUAUAACACCUAGGUAUUUUGUGUUUUUAGUCUGUGUUACUGGUUUGCCAUGAAUAAGAUAAGUGGAAUUAAUUUGUUUUAGUUUUUUUGUUACUCUUAACAACUGACAUUUUUCUGGGUGGAAAGACAUGCUCCAAUUUGAUUCCCAUUUCUGUAAAUCAUCUAAUUCUCUUUUUAAAAUAUCUGUGUCUUGUGUUGUUUUUAUUGUUCUAUAUAUUAUGCAAUCGUCUGCAAAUAAUCUGACUUUUGUUCCUGAAGUAAUGCAAUUUGGUAAAUCAUUUAUGUAAAUUCAAAAUAGUUGUGGACCCAAGACUGUUCCUUGAGGUACACCAGAGUUUACUGUUAUCGGUGUUGAUUUAGAGCCAUUUAUUAUUACAGUUUGUUCUCUCCCUAUCAGAAAGUCUUUAAUCCACUGCUGCAGUGGACCAUUAACCCCUUCGUACACGGUGUGUACAUAUGUACACAUGACUUUAAAACGAUUUUUUUUCACAUGAAAAGUUGUGGACAAGUUUUUUAAACACCGGAAAUAAAUUUAUCGACCUCUUCUUUGUUUAUUAUACACCGUAUUUUACACAGAAAGGAAGCGAAUAUUUUUUAAUUUCAACUUGAAUCCAGUUGGUCAAAUAGCCCGAUUUGAAAACACCCUAUUAGUACUAUUAGAUCUUUCUGUUGAGGAUGUGUUACAACGGAACACUGCCUAACUCACUGCCUGGUUGUAUGAUGAUCAUCUGUUCGAAACCUGUCCGGUUCCAUCCCUGCUGUCCUUCAAGAGAUUUAGGCUAGGACGAAAUAUUACUACUUAAUAAUCUUCAUGACCACACACAGUAACAUCUAACAACUGUGAGGUCUUUAUUACAACAGAUCGCUGCCUCGUCGUUUGGUUUUGAAAUGCCAUCAUGAUGGUCACCUUUUUUUAAUCCUGCACAGUUCCAUUGCCCUGCUGUGUCCUGCAGGGUUUUGUACUAAGAUGUAAUAUUACUACUUAGAAUUCCAUGUCUCCCCCCAGAGGCAAUCUACUGUUGAGGACUUAUAUUACAACGGAUCACUGCCUUCGUUCUGUAUGGGCUUCGAAGUGUCGUCUUAAAUGUCACCUGUUCAAGCCCUGCCAACAUCUGUCACCUGCUGGCCUGCAGGAGGUUUGUGCUAGGAUGUAUUAAUAUUUAAUUAUGUCUUCACCCAGAAGCAUUCUACUGUUGAAGACUUGUUACAAUGAAUCACUGCCUAAUCGUUUGGUUUGGGUUUCGGACUGUCGUCUUAGAGGUCACCCAUUCAAACCUUGCCUACUUCCGUCCCCUGCAUAUCCUGAAUGAGGUUUGUGCUAGGAUAUAAUUAUCAUGUCUACACCCACAGACAUUUUACUGUUGAGGACUUAUUGCAACGAGUCACUUCAUGGUCAUUUGGUAUGAGCUUCGAACUGUCUUCAUAGUGGUCAUUUGUUUGAACCCUACACUUUUCCAUGCCCUGGUCACUGAAACCUCAAACUUCAUUCAUUGAAGCUUAUUAUAAAUAUUAACAAUUCUUAAGCUAUCUAGAUUAUAUACAAUGUGAGAAUAUAUUUAUGUACUGUUGUGCUGUUAGAAAGAGAGAUCCUAUUCAAACAUGGUCUUUUUCUUAUUUCGCAGCCUCAGAUGCCACAAACAAGUGUUUGUCAACCCUGAUAUAACUGUUUGUGAAAACGUGUGUGUGAAUGUGGGCUUGCUUUAGGCUUCUUUUGAAGCAUGUAUCUGAAAAGUUGUUGCAGAAUUAAUUAAGUCAAAGGUGUACAAAUGGUAGGAUGGGAUACAAUGGGCGAAGCUGAAUACUCAAAAUGCUAAUUUUUAUGUAGUACUAGUAAGAAAAAAGUGAUUUUUAGAAUGCCAUUUGCUUAAUAAAAUAAAUAGAUUUGAUAAAAGUAAAUAAAUAAUUUGAUUUAUA